UGGGAUGUUGAUGGUGAAACCCUGGGACCUUCGGGCCAGGGGCUAGAAGAGGAUCCUGCGUCUGAUUAGCUAGUUGGUGAGGUAACGGCCCACCAAGGCAUCGAUCAGUAGCCGGCCUGAGAGGGUGAUCGGCCACACUGGAACUGAGACACGGUCCAGACUCCUACGGGAGGCAGCAGUGGGGAAUUUUGCGCAAUGGGCGAAAGCCUGACGCAGCAACGCCGCGUGGGUGAUGAAGGUCUUCGGAUUGUAAAACCCUGUCGCCAGGGACGAAGGGGGCGAGGUUAAUAGCCUUGUUCUUUGACGGUACCUGGAAAGGAAGCCCCGGCUAACUCUGUGCCAGCAGCCGCGGUAAUACAGAGGGGGCAAGCGUUAUUCGGAAUUAUUGGGCGUAAAGGGCGCGUAGGCGGUUUUUUAAGUCGGAUGUGCAAUCCCUGGGCUCAACCCAGGAACUGCAUCCGAGACU
Molecule: ribosomal RNA, 466 nt
Filed under: uncultured Holophagae bacterium
Lineage: Bacteria; Pseudomonadati; Acidobacteriota; Holophagae
Description: bacterial SSU rRNA
Rfam family: Bacterial small subunit ribosomal RNA
Source: RNAcentral